This 1112-nucleotide ribosomal RNA is filed under the name uncultured organism. RNAcentral's name for it is "bacterial SSU rRNA". It matches the Rfam family "Bacterial small subunit ribosomal RNA", at positions 48 to 1139 of the family's 1533-position model. The record is from RNAcentral.
CUAAUACAUGCAAGUCGAACGGUAACAGGGCAGAACUUCGGUUCAGCCGCUGACGAGUGGCGCACGGGUGAGUAACGCGUACAUAACCUGCCUUCAAGAGAGGGAUAGCCCUGGGAAACCGGGAUUAAUACCUCAUAGUAUUGCUAAGUCGCAUGGCUGUGCAAUUAAAGUUUCGGCGCUUGAAGAUGGAUGUGCGUGCCAUUAGCUAGUUGGUAAGGUAACGGCUUACCAAGGCAACGAUGGCUAGGGGGCGUGAGAGCGUGACCCCCCACACGGGUACUGAGACACGGACCCGACUCCUACGGGAGGCAGCAGUAAGGAAUAUUGGACAAUGGAGGCAACUCUGAUCCAGCCAUCCCGCGUGCAGGAUGACUGCCCUAUGGGUUGUAAACUGCUUUUAUUUGGGAAGAAACCUGUUCAUUUACUGAACAGUUGACGGUACCUUAUGAAUAAGCACCGGCUAACUCCGUGCCAGCAGCCGCGGUAAUACGGAGGGUGCAAGCGUUAUCCGGAAUCACUGGGUUUAAAGGGAGCGUAGGCGGCAUGAUAAGUCAGAGGUGAAAGGCUGUAGCUUAACUAUGGAAUUGCCUUUGAUACUGUUGUGCUUGAAUCGAGUUGAGGUCAGCAGAAUGUGACCUGUAGCGGUGAAAUGCAUAGAUAUGUCAUAGAAUACCAAUUGUGAAGACAGCUUGGCUGGACUUGUAUUGACGCUUGAGGCUCGAAAGCGUGGGGAGCAAACAGGAUUAGAAUACCCUGGUAGUCCACGCCUCUAACCGAUGUUUACUCGAUGUUGGCUUUUGGAAGUCAGGCGUCCAAGGGAAACACUUAAAGUAAACCACUUGGGAAGACCUCCGGAACCCGUGGAACUCCCAGGGAAUUACACGGGGCCACACACACGCGUGGAGCACAUGUGGUAAAUCGAGUUAACGCGAGAGACCUUCACGGGCUCGCGAGGGAACCGGACCAUCCCUGAAAAGGGAGUUUUUCCCCUCGGCGACAUGGAUACAAGGUUCUGCAUGGCCGUUGUCAGCUUCUUCCCUGAAGUUGUGGGUUAAAGUCCCGCAACGAGCGCAACCCCUAUUUUCAGUUGCCAGCACAUAAUGGUGGGGACU